RNAcentral lists this long non-coding RNA (563 nucleotides) under Phoenix dactylifera (date palm). Its description in RNAcentral is "long non-coding RNA (PDAC_LNC005312)". The record is from RNAcentral. Lineage: Eukaryota; Viridiplantae; Streptophyta; Magnoliopsida; Arecales; Arecaceae.
GACAUCCACUGCAAUUAUUGCAAGAAACUUGAGCAUACAAACAUUCAUGAAACAAACAUCCAAAGAAUCCUGAUGGGACCAACAAAGCACCUCCUUGAUGAUUCUCUGAUACCAUAUCUUUCCAUUCUUCAUGAUAGACAACUACUCUCGUAAAGAUUGGCACAUCACAUGAUAAUCCUAAAGUUUCAAGUGCUCCAACUACAGACUCUUGCAAUUAAAGAUUAUUCACCACAGAUUAGUUAUAACAAAGUCUUCAUUUGGAUUUACUACUUCUACUAUUUCUCCUUCUACUACUUCUUCAGGUAUUAUCAUGCUAUUGCCAUCGAAUCUGGGCUAAGGUCAGAGUUCAGCUCGGAUGAUCCUAAGGUUGGCUGGAGAUGAACUAGGUAGGCUGGCCGAGAUGUAGAGGGCGGAUCUCCUCUAAAUGUGGCCUGCAAAAGGUCUGCUUGCUGGAGAGCUUUCGAUGGGGCCCCUCUGAUGCCUAAAUUAGAAUAGAGAGAUGCAACAGUAUGGAAGAGAGAGAAUUUCAGGAGAGUAUUGUUUCUAUGAGCUUGAACGAUCCU